UACGUAGGGGGCUAGCGUUGCUCGGAAUCACUGGGCGUAAAGCGCACGUAGGCGGAUUGUUAAGUCAUGUGUGAAAUCCCUCGGCUCAACCGGGGAACGACGCAUGAAACUGACAAGCUAGAGUACCAAAGAGGGGGGUGGAAUUCCUGGUGUAGCGGUGAAAUGCGCAGAUAUCAGGAAGAACACCCGUGGCGAAGGCGGCUCUCUGGGACGGUACUGACGCUGAGACGCGAAAGCGUGGGGAGCGAACAGG
Molecule: ribosomal RNA, 253 nt
Filed under: uncultured bacterium
Lineage: Bacteria
Description: partial 16S ribosomal RNA
Rfam family: Bacterial small subunit ribosomal RNA
Source: RNAcentral